UGGUAAUGCCGGAUGUUCCAGUUGAUCGCAUGGUCUUCUGGGAAAGCUUUCGCGGUAUGGGAUGGGGUCGCGUCCUAUCAGCUUGACGGCGGGGUAACGGCCCACCGUGGCUUCGACGGGUAGCCGGCCUGAGAGGGCGACCGGCCACAUUGGGACUGAGAUACGGCCCAGACUCCUACGGGAGGCAGCAGUGGGGAAUAUUGCACAAUGGGCGCAAGCCUGAUGCAGCGACGCCGCGUGAGGGAUGGAGGCCUUCGGGUUGUAAACCUCUUUUAUCGGGGAGCAAGCGUGAGUGAGUUUACCCGUUGAAUAAGCACCGGCUAACUACGUGCCAGCAGCCGCGGUAAUACGUAGGGUGCAAGCGUUAUCCGGAAUUAUUGGGCGUAAAGGGCUCGUAGGCGGUUCGUCGCGUCCGGUGUGAAAGUCCAUCGCUUAACGGUGGAUCCGCGCCGGGUACGGGCGGGCUUGAGUGCGGUAGGGGAGACUGGAAUUCCCGGUGUAACGGUGGAAUGUGUAGAUAUC
RNAcentral lists this ribosomal RNA (522 nucleotides) under Bifidobacterium longum subsp. infantis. Its description in RNAcentral is "bacterial SSU rRNA". It matches the Rfam family "Bacterial small subunit ribosomal RNA", at positions 161 to 698 of the family's 1533-position model. The record is from RNAcentral. RNAcentral also lists the same sequence under 2 other names. Lineage: Bacteria; Bacillati; Actinomycetota; Actinomycetes; Bifidobacteriales; Bifidobacteriaceae.